GUGUCAGCAGCCGCGGUAAGACGAACCGUGCGAACGUUAUUCGGAAUCACUGGGCUUAAAGCGCGUGUAGGCGGAUGGGGACGUCGGUCGCUGAAAUACCCCGGCUCAACCGGGGAACGGGCGCCGAAACGCCCCGUCUCGAGGGACGUAGGGGGACCUGGAACUUCCGGUGGAGCGGUGAAAUGCGUUGAGAUCGGAAGGAACGCCCGUGGCGAAAGCGAGGUCCUGGACGUCUACUGACGCUGAGACGCGAAAGCUAGGGGAGCGAACGGGAUUAGAUACCCCGGUAGUCCUAGCCGUAAACGAUGGGCACUAGGUAGGGGGCUCGCCGAUGGGCUCCCUGCCGUAGGGAAACCGUGAAGUGCCCCGCCUGGGGAGUAUGGUCGCAAGGCUGAA
This 396-nucleotide ribosomal RNA is filed under the name uncultured bacterium. RNAcentral's name for it is "bacterial SSU rRNA". It matches the Rfam family "Bacterial small subunit ribosomal RNA", at positions 505 to 898 of the family's 1533-position model. The record is from RNAcentral.